AGCUCCUUAGUUCAACGGAUAGAACAAAAGUUUCCUAAACUUUAGAUACAGGUUCGAUUCCUGUAGGAGCUACAA
RNAcentral lists this transfer RNA (75 nucleotides) under Flavobacteriaceae bacterium. RNAcentral's name for it is "tRNA-Arg". It matches the Rfam family "tRNA". From Rfam's summary of the family: Transfer RNA (tRNA) molecules are approximately 80 nucleotides in length. Their secondary structure includes four short double-helical elements and three loops (D, anti-codon, and T loops). Further hydrogen bonds mediate the characteristic L-shaped molecular structure. tRNAs have two regions of fundamental functional importance: the anti-codon, which is responsible for specific mRNA codon recognition, and the 3' end, to which the tRNAs corresponding amino acid is attached (by aminoacyl-tRNA synthetases). tRNAs cope with the degeneracy of the genetic code in two manners: having more than one tRNA (with a specific anti-codon) for a particular amino acid; and 'wobble' base-pairing, i.e. permitting non-standard base-pairing at the 3rd anti-codon position. Lineage: Bacteria; Pseudomonadati; Bacteroidota; Flavobacteriia; Flavobacteriales; Flavobacteriaceae. The record is from RNAcentral.